UGGGGAAUAUUGCGCAAUGGGGGGAACCCUGACGCAGCCAUGCCGCGUGAAUGAAGAAGGCCUUAGGGUUGUAAAGUUCUUUCGGUAUUGAGGAAGGUUGAUGUGUUAAUAGCACAUCAAAUUGACGUUAAAUACAGAAGAAGCACCGGCUAACUCCGUGCCAGCAGCCGCGGUAAUACGGAGGGUGCGAGCGUUAAUCGGAAUAACAGGGCGUAAAGGGCACGCAGGCGGUUAUUUAAGUGAGGUGUGAAAGCCCCGGGCUUAACCUGGGAAUUGCAUUUCAGACUGGGUAACUAGAGUACUUUAGGGAGGGGUAGAAUUCCACGUGUAGCGGUGAAAUGCGUAGAGAUGUGGAGGAAUACCGAAGGCGAAGGCAGCCCCUUGGGAAUGUACUGACGCUCAUGUGCGAAAGCGUGGGGAGCAAACAGGAUUAGAUACCCUGGUAGUCCACGCUGUAAACGCUGUCGAUUUGGGGGUUGGGGUUUAACUCUGGCGCCCGUAGCUAACGUGAUAAAUCGACCGCCUGGGGAGUACGGCCGCAAGGUUA
This 547-nucleotide ribosomal RNA is filed under the name uncultured bacterium. RNAcentral describes it as "bacterial SSU rRNA". It matches the Rfam family "Bacterial small subunit ribosomal RNA", at positions 355 to 896 of the family's 1533-position model. The record is from RNAcentral.